This 253-nucleotide ribosomal RNA is filed under the name Roseomonas sp. Its description in RNAcentral is "partial 16S ribosomal RNA". It matches the Rfam family "Bacterial small subunit ribosomal RNA", at positions 524 to 776 of the family's 1533-position model. The record is from RNAcentral. Lineage: Bacteria; Pseudomonadati; Pseudomonadota; Alphaproteobacteria; Acetobacterales; Roseomonadaceae.
UACGAAGGGGGCUAGCGUUACUCGGAAUUACUGGGCGUAAAGGGCGCGUAAGCGGCUCUGUAAGUCAGGCGUGAAAUUCCUGGGCUCAACCUGGGGGCUGCGCUUGAGACUGUGGGGCUAGAGGAUGGAAGAGGGUCGUGGAAUUCCCAGUGUAGAGGUGAAAUUCGUAGAUAUUGGGAAGAACACCGGUGGCGAAGGCGGCGACCUGGUCCAUUACUGACGCUGAGGCGCGACAGCGUGGGGAGCAAACAGG